GUCAGGUUCCCUGAUGAAUCCCAAUUCAGCCGGCUUUGCUGUCACUGUCAGGUGUUUCCGGAUUCUCCAUCUCUGACGUAUGGGUGUGUAGCCUUUUCUCUCAUUCCUGCCUCCUUGUCUCCUUUGACCUUUGUGUUGGUGCCUGUGACCUGGGAGUUGAUCUCCGUGUUAAUGCAUCUGGAGGCCAUGAGAGGAGCGAGAGGCGGAUUGCUGGAGAGGCUCUAAUCGAGGAUGCUCAGGUGCUGCCUGCAGUGAAGCCAAAGAGAUGUACAUGAGAUUGGAGGGACAGCCGGAGACAAGUAAUGAACAUUCCUCCCUCGCUGCAUUGCUC
This is a long non-coding RNA of Oreochromis aureus, 331 nucleotides long. RefSeq lists it as uncharacterized. The transcript is spliced from 3 exons. NCBI's taxonomy places the organism in Eukaryota, Metazoa, Chordata, Actinopteri, Cichliformes, Cichlidae. The record is from RefSeq and is a predicted model, not a curated record.